RNAcentral lists this ribosomal RNA (497 nucleotides) under uncultured bacterium. RNAcentral's name for it is "partial 16S ribosomal RNA". It matches the Rfam family "Bacterial small subunit ribosomal RNA", at positions 28 to 507 of the family's 1533-position model. The record is from RNAcentral.
GAUGAACGCUGGCGGCGUGCCUAAUACAUGCAAGUCGAGCGAACAGACGAGGAGCUUGCUCCUCUGACGUUAGCGGCGGACGGGUGAGUAACACGUGGAUAACCUACCUAUAAGACUGGGAUAACUUCGGGAAACCGGAGCUAAUACCGGAUAAUAUAUUUAACCGCAUGGUUCAAUAGUGAAAGACGGUUUUGCUGUCACUUAUAGAUGGAUCCGCGCCGCAUUAGCUAGUUGGUAAGGUAACGGCUUACCAAGGCAACGAUGCGUAGCCGACCUGAGAGGGUGAUCGGCCACACUGGAACUGAGACACGGUCCAGGGUCCUACGGGAGGGAGCAGUAGGGAAUCUUCCGCAGUGGGCGAAAGCCUGACGGAGCAACGCCGCGUGAGUGAUGAAGGUCUUCGGAUCGUAAAACUCUGUUAUUAGGGAAGAACAAAUGUGUAAGUAAAUAUGCACGUCUUGACGGUACCUGAUCAGAAAGCCACGGCUAACUACGUG